This 282-nucleotide ribosomal RNA is filed under the name Triticum aestivum (bread wheat). Its description in RNAcentral is "partial small subunit ribosomal RNA". The record is from RNAcentral. Lineage: Eukaryota; Viridiplantae; Streptophyta; Magnoliopsida; Poales; Poaceae.
UCGGCCAGCCACAGCUCCAAGAAUACGCGGAGGAGGUGGCCCGGGUCGGUGUCGGCGCCGUCCGGCGCGGGCCACGGGCCCGCUUCCAAGUGCGUCUGCGCGCCGGCCACCCACGCCGGGUCCUUCAAGUGCCGCUUCCACCGCACCAACUCCCAGGACCACGGCCACGGCCAAGGCUAGGGAAGCCGCCCUUCUUCGCCCCCUUCACCGGCCGCGGCCAACGCGGUGCCGCGGCACCCGGCCUCUCCGUCCUCGUCCUCCGGCACCGUUGCGGUCCAGUGA